Molecule: ribosomal RNA, 1253 nt
Filed under: uncultured bacterium
Lineage: Bacteria
Description: partial 16S ribosomal RNA
Rfam family: Bacterial small subunit ribosomal RNA
Source: RNAcentral
AGCGGCGGACGGGUGAGUAACACGUGGGCAACCUGCCUCCCCCAGGGGAAUAGCCUUCCGAAAGGAAGAUUAAUACCGCAUAACAUUGUUGAAAGGCAUCUUUUAACAAUCAAAGGAGCAAUCCGCUAUGAGAUGGGCCCGCGGCGCAUUAGCUAGUUGGUGAGGUAACGGCUCACCAAGGCGACGAUGCGUAGCCGACCUGAGAGGGUGAUCGGCCACAUUGGAACUGAGACACGGUCCAGACUCCUACGGGAGGCAGCAGUGGGGAAUAUUGCACAAUGGGGGAAACCCUGAUGCAGCAACGCCGCGUGAGUGAUGAAGGUCUUCGGAUUGUAAAACUCUGUCUUUAGGGACGAUAAUGACGGUACCUAAGGAGGAAGCUCCGGCUAAAUACGUGCCAGCAGCCGCGGUAAUACGUAUGGAGCAAGCGUUAUCCGGAUUUACUGGGUGUAAAGGGUGCGUAGGUGGCAGUGCAAGUCAGAUGUGAAAUCCAUGGGCUUAACCCAUGAACUGCAUUUGAAACUGUAUUUCUUGAGUACUGGAGAGGCAAUCGGAAUUCCUAGUGUAGCGGUGAAAUGCGUAGAUAUUAGGAGGAACACCAGUGGCGAAGGCGGAUUGCUGGACAGCAACUGACGGUGAGGCGCGAAAGUGUGGGGAGCAAACAGGAUUAGAUACCCUGGUAGUCCACACUGUAAACGAUGAAUACUAGGUGUGCGGGGACUGACCCCCUGCGUGCCGCAGUUAACACAAUAAGUAUUCCACCUGGGGAGUACGAUCGCAAGGUUGAAACUCAAAGGAAUUGACGGGGGCCCGCACAAGCGGUGGAUUAUGUGGUUUAAUUCGAAGCAACGCGAAGAACCUUACCAGGGCUUGACAUCCUCUGACCGCUCUAGAGAUAGAGUUUCCCUUCGGGGCAGAGAGACAGGUGGUGCAUGGUUGUCGUCAGCUCGUGUCGUGAGAUGUUUGGUUAAGUCCAAUAACGAGCGCAACCCCUAUGGUCAGUUGCCAUCAUUUAGUUGGGCACUCUGGCAAGACUGCCGCGGACAACGCGGAGGAAGGAGGGGACGACGUCAAAUCAUCAUGCUCCUUACGUUUCGGGCUACACACGUACUACAAUGGCGAGAACAAAGGGAAGCGAAGCCGCGAGGCGGAGCGAAACCCAUAAAAAUCGUCCCAGUUCAGACUGCAGGCUGCAACUCGCCUGCACGAAGUCGGAAUAGGUAGUAAUCGCGGAUCAGCAUGCCGCGGUGAAU